This is a non-coding RNA of Pelobates cultripes (western spadefoot toad), 706 nucleotides long. The record is from the annotation of a GenBank genome assembly. NCBI's taxonomy places the organism in Eukaryota, Metazoa, Chordata, Amphibia, Anura, Pelobatidae.
GUAAUUUCAGGACUUUAUAGCACUCAUUCAUCGGUCGUAGCCACGACCCCUGAAUCAGAGCCACUACUUCUUAUUCGUUAUAUUUAGGUGUUAAGCACCAUCUUUAGUUCUGUGUAUAUCCUCUAGAGAGAGACGUUUGAUUAAAAUAGAUUUAGAGACAGCAUUUUUGAGUUAAUGGCUGGUUUUCUCACCAACAAAAUAGAUCCUAAACAAUGGUGUUCGGAUGCAGACACUAUUUUUUCUACUAGCUCCUCAUUACAAGCUCUUCCCCCCGUAGACAUACAAAGUGGUUUCAAUAAAUUAACUAAGAUUUUUAAACAACAAAUAAGGACUAGUUGGGAAAUCUCAACCCUUGAGACAUAUAUUGUUAAAAAGAUCAUCCCUAGGGGACUUAGGGUUUUAGUCCCACCCUCUAGAAAUAUUGAAAUAGAGGGAUUCACACAAGAAUGGGAAGAUGCAGCAGCUAGAUGCUCAACCACCUUUAUGUCUAUCAUAUGUAAAUAUGAGUCUGUACAUUUAACACAUAUUCAAAAAACCUUGGAUACUGAGAUUGAGAACAUCCAAAAGUUUAAGGACGACCCCCAGUUCCCAAAUUUAGAAGUGAGAUUGAAGACCAAUUUGGAUAGAUUUUCUUACCAAAUCAAAAUUAAAAAACACCAUAAAUUCGUUAGGGACACUACGGAUUUUGAGACUGGAAGAGUCUAUC